AGUGAACGCUGGCGGUAGGCCUAACACAUGCAAGUCGAACGGCAGCACAGUAAGAGCUUGCUCUUACGGGUGGCGAGUGGCGGACGUGUGAGGAAUACAUCGGAAUCUACUUUUUCGUGGGGGAUAACGUAGGGAAACUUACGCUAAUACCGCAUACGACCUACGGUUGAAAGCAGUGGAUCUUCGGACCUUGCGCGAUUGAAUGAGCCGAUGUCGGAUUAGCUAGUUGGCGGGGUAAAGGCCCACCAAGGCGACGAUCCGUAGCUGGUCUGAGAGGAUGAUAACCCACACUGGAACUGAGACACGGUCAAGACUCCUACGGGAGGCAGCAGUGGGGAAUAUUGGACAAUGGGCGCAAGCAUGAUCCAGCCAUACCGCGUGGGUGAAGAAGGCCUUCGGGUUGUAAAGCCCUUUUGUUGGGAAAGAAAAGCAGCAGGUUAAUACCCCGCUGUUCUGACGGUACCCAAAGAAUAAGCACCGGCUAACUUCGCG
Molecule: ribosomal RNA, 492 nt
Filed under: uncultured bacterium
Lineage: Bacteria
Description: partial 16S ribosomal RNA
Rfam family: Bacterial small subunit ribosomal RNA
Source: RNAcentral